CCUACGGGUGGCAGCAGUAGGGAAUCUUCCACAAUGGGCGAAAGCCUGAUGGAGCAACGCCGCGUGGGUGAAGAAGGUCUUCGGAUCGUAAAACCCUGUUGUUAGAGAAGAAAGUGCGUGAGAGUAACUGUUCACGUUUCGACGGUAUCUAACCAGAAGGCGACGGCAAACUACGUGCCAGCACCCGCGGUAAUACGUCGGUGGCAAGAGUUAGCCGGAUUUAUUGGGCGGAAAGGGAACGCAGGCGGGCUUUUAAGCCUGAUGGGAAAGCCUUCGGGUUAACCGGGGUAGUGCAUUGGAAACUGGGAGACUUGAGUGCAGAAGAGGAGAGGCGAACUCCAUGUGUAGCGGUGAAAUGCG
RNAcentral lists this ribosomal RNA (360 nucleotides) under uncultured bacterium. Its description in RNAcentral is "partial 16S ribosomal RNA". It matches the Rfam family "Bacterial small subunit ribosomal RNA", at positions 338 to 690 of the family's 1533-position model. The record is from RNAcentral.